CCUACGGGUGGCAGCAGUGAGGAAUAUUGGUCAAUGGGCGCAAGCCUGAACCAGCCAAGUAGCGUGAGGGAUGAAGGCUCUAUGGAUUGUAAACUUCUUUUAUAAGGGAAUAAAGUGAGGGACGUGUACUGUUUUGUAUGUACCUUAUGAAUAAGGAUCGGCUAACUCCGUGCCAGCAGCCGCGGUAAUACGGAGGAUCCGAGCAUUAUCCGGAUUUAUUGGGUUUAAAGGGUGCGUAGGCGGGUUGUUAAGUUAGUUGUGAAAUGUCCGGGCUUAACUCUGGAACUGCAUCUGAUACUGGUGCUCUUGAGUAUAGUUGAGGUAGUCGGAAUUUGUGGUGUAGCGGUGAAAUGCUUAGAUAUCACGCAGAAAACCGAUUGCGAAGGCAGCUUACCAAACUAUAACUGACGUUGAUGCACGAAAGCGUGGGUAGCAAACAGGAUUAGAUACCCUUGUAGUC
Molecule: ribosomal RNA, 460 nt
Filed under: uncultured bacterium
Lineage: Bacteria
Description: partial 16S ribosomal RNA
Rfam family: Bacterial small subunit ribosomal RNA
Source: RNAcentral